This 373-nucleotide ribosomal RNA is filed under the name uncultured bacterium. RNAcentral describes it as "bacterial SSU rRNA". It matches the Rfam family "Bacterial small subunit ribosomal RNA", at positions 524 to 898 of the family's 1533-position model. The record is from RNAcentral.
UACGUAGGGGACGAGCGUUGUCCGGAAUUACUGGGCGUAAAGGGCGCGCAGGCUGUGCUGCAAGUCAGCUGUUAAAUGUCUGGGCUUAACCCGGGCAUGCGGUUGAGACUGCGGUGCUGGAGUGCUGUAGAGGCAAGUGGAAUUCCCAGUGUAGCGGUGAAAUGCGUAGAUAUUGGGAAGAACACCGGUGGCGAAGGCGACUUGCUGGGCAGCAACUGACGCUGAGGCGCGAAAGCCAGGGGAGCAAACGGGAUUAGAUACCCCGGUAGUCCUGGCCGUAAACGAUGAAUGCUAGGUGUGGGUGUAGAGAUACAUUCGUGCCGGAGUUAACGCGAUAAGCAUUCCGCCUGGGGAGUACGGUCGCAAGAUUGAA